UAGAGUUUGAUCCUGGCUCAGAUUGAACGCUGGCGGCAGGCCUAACACAUGCAAGUCGAACGGUAGCACAGAGAGCUUGCUCUCGGGUGACGAGUGGCGGACGGGUGAGUAAUGUCUGGGAAACUGCCUGAUGGAGGGGGAUAACUACUGGAAACGGUAGCUAAUACCGCAUAACGUCGCAAGACCAAAGAGGGGGACCUUCGGGCCUCUUGCCAUCGGAUGUGCCCAGAUGGGAUUAGCUUGUUGGUGAGGUAACGGCUCACCAAGGCGACGAUCCCUAGCUGGUCUGAGAGGAUGACCAGCCACACUGGAACUGGGACACGGUCCAGACUCCUACGGGAGGCAGCAGUGGGGAAUAUUGCACAAUGGGCGCAAGCCUGAUGCAGCCAUGCCGCGUGUAUGAAGAAGGCCUUCGGGUUGUAAAGUACUUUCAGCGAGGAGGAAGGCGGUAAGGUUAAUAACCUUAUCGAUUGACGUUACUCGCAGAAGAAGCACCGGCUAACUCCGUGCCAGCAGCCGCGGUAAUUACGGAGGGUGCAAGCGUUAAUCGGAAUUACUGGGCGUAAAGCGCACGCAGGCGGUCUGUCAAGUCGGAUGUGAAAUCCCCGGGCUCAACCUGGGAACUGCAUUCGAAACUGGCAGGCUAGAGCUUUUUUAAAGAGGGGGGGGUAGAAAUUCCAGGGUGUAGCGGGUGAAAUGGGCGUAGAGAAUCCUGGAGGAAAUACCGGGGGGGGGCGAAGGCGGGCCCCCUGGACAAAGACUGACGCUCAUGUGCGAAAGGCCGUGGGGAGCAAACAGGAUUAGAUACCCCUGGUAGUCCACGC
Molecule: ribosomal RNA, 824 nt
Filed under: uncultured bacterium
Lineage: Bacteria
Description: bacterial SSU rRNA
Rfam family: Bacterial small subunit ribosomal RNA
Source: RNAcentral